CCUACGGGCGGCUGCAGUGGGGAAUAUUGGACAAUGGGGGCAACCCUGAUCCAGCCAUGCCGCGUGUGUGAAGAAGGCCCUCGGGUUGUAAAGCACUUUCAGUGAGGAAGAACGCCUGGUGGUUAAUACCCAUCAGGAAAGACAUCACUCACAGAAGAAGCACCGGCUAACUCCGUGCCAGCAGCCGCGGUAAUACGGAGGGUGCGAGCGUUAAUCGGAAUUACUGGGCGUAAAGCGCGCGUAGGUGGCUUGAUAAGCCGGUUGUGAAAGCCCCGGGCUCAACCUGGGAACGGCAUCCGGAACUGUCAAGCUAGAGUGCAGGAGAGGAGGGUAGAAUUCCCGGUGUAGCGGUGAAAUGCGUAGAGAUCGGGAGGAAUACCAGUGGCGAAGGCGGCCUUCUGGACUGACACUGACACUGAGGUGCGAAAGCGUGGGUAGCAAACAGGAUUAGAUACCCUGGUAGUC
Molecule: ribosomal RNA, 465 nt
Filed under: Vreelandella stevensii
Lineage: Bacteria; Pseudomonadati; Pseudomonadota; Gammaproteobacteria; Oceanospirillales; Halomonadaceae
Description: partial 16S ribosomal RNA
Rfam family: Bacterial small subunit ribosomal RNA
Source: RNAcentral